Molecule: transfer RNA, 72 nt
Organism: Camelus ferus (Wild Bactrian camel)
Lineage: Eukaryota; Metazoa; Chordata; Mammalia; Artiodactyla; Camelidae
Rfam family: tRNA
About the family: Transfer RNA (tRNA) molecules are approximately 80 nucleotides in length. Their secondary structure includes four short double-helical elements and three loops (D, anti-codon, and T loops).
Source: Rfam
GAGGGUAUAGCUCAGUGGUAGAGUGCGUGCUUAGCAUGCAUGAGGUCCUGGGUUCAAUCCCCAGUACCUCCA